UCCUGCCGGACCUGACUGCUAUCGGAUUGAUACUAAGCCAUGUUAGUCUUUGUAGUAAUACAAGGCAUACGGCUCAGUAACACGUAGUCAACCUAACUUAUGGACGGGGAUAACUUCGGGAAACUGAUGAUAAUACCCGAUAGGUCAUUAUGCCUGGAAUGGCUUAUGGCUUAAAUGAAUUUCGCCAUAGGAUGGGACUGCGGCCUAUCAGCUUGUUGGUGAGGUAAUGGCCCACCAAGGCUAUAACAGGUACGGGCUCUGAGAGGAGUAGCCCGGAGAUGGGUACUGAGACAAGGACCCAGGUCCUAUGGGACGCAGCAGGCGAGAAAACUUUGCAAUGUGCGAAAGCACGACAAGGUUAAUCCGAGUGUUUCCUGCUAAAGGAAUCUUUUGUUAGUCGUAGAACCACUGAUGAAUAAGGGGUGGGCAAGUUCUGGUGUCAGCCGCCGCGGUAAAACCAGCACCUCAAGUGGUCAGGAGGAUUAUUGGGCCUAAAGCAUCCGUAGCCUGUUUUGUAAGUCUUCGGUUAAAUCCACAUGCUUAACAUGUGGGCUGCCGGAGAUACUGCAAAACUAGGGAGUGGGAGAGGUAGACGGUACUUGGUAGGAAGGGGUAAAAUCCUUUGAUCUAUUGAUGACCACCUGUGGCGAAGGCGGUCUACCAGAACACGUUCGACGGUGAGGGAUGAAAGCUGGGGGAGCAAACCGGAUUAGAUACCCGGGUAGUCCCAGCUGUAAACGAUGCAGACUCGGUGAUGCAUUGGUUUAUUGCCAGUGCAGUGCCGCAGGGAAGCCGUUAAGUCUGCCGCCUGGGAAGUACGUACGCAAGUAUGAAACUUAAA
This 841-nucleotide ribosomal RNA is filed under the name uncultured Nitrososphaerota archaeon. Its description in RNAcentral is "bacterial SSU rRNA". It matches the Rfam family "Archaeal small subunit ribosomal RNA", at positions 12 to 860 of the family's 1478-position model. Lineage: Archaea; Thermoproteati; Nitrososphaerota. The record is from RNAcentral.